Folsomia candida is the source of this 1126-nucleotide long non-coding RNA. RefSeq lists it as uncharacterized. NCBI's taxonomy places the organism in Eukaryota, Metazoa, Arthropoda, Collembola, Entomobryomorpha, Isotomidae. The transcript is spliced from 3 exons. The record is from RefSeq and is a predicted model, not a curated record.
UUUUCAAGGCCACCUACGUGUUUGCAAAAUCUGUAUCCCUCAAACACUUGUGUGCAGAAAAGACAGAGCUUUUGGCAGGGAAGCAACUGUCAUCUCUCACGUUAAAUCUAGAUAAUAAGCAUGGAGAAAGCAGUCAGCAGUGACGAAAUUGUGGGAGAAAGUGCAAACUCCACCAGCAAGGAAAGCCACUGGGAAUUUCUACGCCAUCAACUCCGCACAGCGACUAAUUACACCAAUGCAGUGGAAAGUUUUAAGACCAAUGUUCUCAGCAAUCAUCUGGGAGAAAGCAGAUCAUCGUUCGAAAACUGGGUGAAAGUUGUGAAUAAUGUGGCUGUCGGGAUGACCCCGUGUCACCCGUCCGACCCACAUUGCACGUGUGGAGGCACGUGUUCUAACAAUCACACCAACGAUCUUGCAUCCACUGAUGCCAACCGAUGUUCCUGCAACUGUUCGAAUUGUUACCAUCGCCGACCUGAAAACUCCCCCAAACCGGAACCUCCUCGACCUGAAUACCUCACUCAUAUUAAACACGUUUCUCAUUUCCAGUGUUAAAUUAAAAACCAUAAUGGUUGUUACAGCAAUAUAUUCGUAUACAAAGAAACAUUAAUGAUACUCAAAGUUUGUGAUUGUAAACUAGUAAUAUUUAUUCGUGUUUAUCAGGAUAUGUAGUUUUCCAAGUGUCAGAUAUUUAGUUUCAAAAAUUCUGCAAGGUUUUGUCAACUAACAAACGAUCAGAAUUUUUUUUUAAAAGAUUUUAGAUUGGAUAGUGAAUACAUUCACACACAAAUAUAUUCAUAAGAUGAUGUUUUUGAGAUUCCUAAAGAAUAGAUAGAAAAAUAUAUGUUUGUAAAUACUUACAUGAAAUUACCCACCUUAGUAUAUUCCUUAUUAUUUUCUCAAAUAUCAAGGUGCAUGACAAAUCCUUGUUCCUACAAAUUAAAUAUGUAAUUAUGUAAAAUAUAUUUUCUUGUUAGGUAACCCUCAUUUCUUAAUUACAUACAUAAUUACUUACUCUAAUUUAGGUCGUAUAUGUAUAUGGAUAAACAUCUUUGUUCUUUAGCUGUACAAAUUACAACUAGCUUAAACAAUGCUCUAAUAAUGCAAUAAAUAUCUUGUCUCAAUUUUC